GCUCAGAUAGCUCAGUCGGUAGAGCAGAGGACUGAAAAUCCUCGUGUCGCUGGUUCGAUUCCGGCUCUGAGCACCA
This 76-nucleotide transfer RNA is filed under the name Tissierellia bacterium. RNAcentral describes it as "tRNA-Phe". It matches the Rfam family "tRNA". Rfam says of the family: Transfer RNA (tRNA) molecules are approximately 80 nucleotides in length. The record is from RNAcentral. Lineage: Bacteria; Bacillati; Bacillota; Tissierellia.